GAACGCUGGCGGCGUGCCUAAUACAUGCAAGUCGAGCGAACAGACGAGGAGCUUGCUCCUCUGACGUUAGCGGCGGACGGGUGAGUAACACGUGGAUAACCUACCUAUAAGACUGGGAUAACUUCGGGAAACCGGAGCUAAUACCGGAUAAUAUAUUGAACCGCAUGGUUCAAUAGUGAAAGACGGUUUUGCUGUCCCUUAUAGAUGGAUCCGCGCCGCAUUAGCUAGUUGGUAAGGUAACGGCUUACCAAGGCAACGAUGCGUAGCCGACCUGAGAGGGUGAUCGGCCACACUGGAACUGAGACACGGUCCAGACUCCUACGGGAGGCAGCAGUAGGGAAUCUUCCGCAAUGGGCGAAAGCCUGACGGAGCAACGCCGCGUGAGUGAUGAAGGUCUUCGGAUCGUAAAACUCUGUUAUUAGGGAAGAACAAAUGUGUAAGUAACUAUGCACGUCUUGACGGUACCUAAUCAGAAAGCCACGGCUAACUACGUG
RNAcentral lists this ribosomal RNA (494 nucleotides) under uncultured bacterium. RNAcentral's name for it is "partial 16S ribosomal RNA". It matches the Rfam family "Bacterial small subunit ribosomal RNA", at positions 31 to 507 of the family's 1533-position model. The record is from RNAcentral.